GGGCAAUUGAGGUGAAGAGAAAAUGUUAACCAAGUUCGAAACCAAGAGUAAUCGAGUGAAGGGGUUGAGCUUUCAUAGCAAGCGACCAUGGAUCUUGGCCAGUCUUCAUAGUGGUGUGAUCCAGCUAUGGGACUAUCGUAUGGGCACUCUCAUUGAUCGGUUUGACGAGCACGAUGGCCCCGUGCGUGGCGUCCAUUUCCAUAAAUCUCAACCUCUCUUUGUCUCCGGAGGUAUUGGUUUUAUUCCCAUUUGUAUUUUAAUUGAGUUUUUGGGGAUCGAAAUAUGAUCUAUGUUUGGUUAAUUUUAGUUUGUACUUGGAUCUAAUUGACGAAUCAGCUCUUACUUAGUUUGGAAUUUACGAUUUAUGAUUCGGGAGUUUUUGUUUUUGAGCGGUAAAUGUUUGAUUUGUUCUAUUCGUUACGUGAUUGCAGUUUGUUUAUUUAGCCUUGUACUAAUGUAGAUUAGGGAGAUGGAUUUAAAUGUGGGUUGUCUUUCAAUUUUAAUGGAUUAUGAUUUCAAUUGUGUGCAUCAGCAUUAGGGGAAUUGGAUAUGUCGGUUGCAUUUUGUUGUUUUCUGUUGUGAAUAAGCUAUAUUAUUUCCUUUCUAAUUAGUAGCGAUCUGAUGGGAUAGUUGCGAUGUGUGCCACUUUUUACGUGAUUUCAGUUUGUUUAUUUGGACUUGUAAAAAUUUGGAUUAGGGAGCUGGAUUGAAUGAGUUGUUUGUCUCUCAUUGUUAAAGUAUUCAACCCUAUGCAUCAGCAUUAGGGGGAUUGACAUAUGUUGGUUGCAAUUUGUUGUUUUCCCUUGUAAAUAAGUGAUUUUUUCCUUUUGGGUUAGUGGUCAUCUGGUGGGAUAGUUUAGAAAGCAAAGAUUGGAUCUGUUGUGCUAUUCUGGUUCUACUGUUGGACUUUCCAAAAGAGGUGGAUCCAAAUCCCCAAGCUCCAAUACAUAUUGAACAUCUGCUUUUGGUUUUCAGCAGGCCUUUGAGCUAAUGAACUUUUUCUGUUGUGGAAACUUGAUGAGGGUGGAAGCUUGAUAUCCUCCUCAGUAAAGGAGGUUAUCCUCCCUUCCAUGUUGUUUUCCCAUUGUCAGAAAUCAUGAUACAGAACCUUUUUUUUUUCAGGAGAUGAUUAUAAGAUCAAGGUUUGGAAUUACAAGCUGCAUAGGUGUUUGUUUACCCUGCUUGGGCAUCUUGAUUACAUUCGUACUGUUCAAUUUCACCACGAGUAUCCAUGGAUUGUUAGUGCAAGUGAUGAUCAAACAAUCAGAAUAUGGAACUGGCAGUCUCGAACUUGUAUCUCUGUUUUGACUGGGCACAACCACUAUGUGAUGUGUGCCUCAUUCCAUCCCAAGGAGGACUUAGUUGUGUCUGCUUCUUUGGAUCAGACCGUUCGAGUGUGGGAUAUUGGUGCCCUGAGGAAGAAAACAGUGUCCCCUGCUGAUGACAUCCUCAGAUUGAGUCAGAUGAACACAGAUUUCUUCGGUGGUGUCGAUGCAGUUGUAAAGUAUGUCCUAGAGGGUCAUGAUCGAGGAGUGAACUGGGCUUCAUUCCAUCCCACUCUCCCUUUGAUUGUCUCUGGUGCUGAUGAUCGCCAAGUUAAAAUCUGGCGAAUGAAUGGUAUGAAACUAUUCUUCCCCCUGGCCCCCCAAAUUAGAAUUUUCUUGUCGCUUAGACUGAAAACUUUUUUUUUCUCUAUUUCUAGUUUCUUGGUGUUGUAGUUAGCGUACAUUUUUAGGUUGAAAAAUCAUAUUUUGUACAUAGGUGGGUUACAAGUGUUGCAGAUUGCUAGUUUUUAGACUACACAAAUUGAAUAUCCCUGUCUUUCUUUGUCCUUUUAGUAUUUUCCUUCCAUUCAAGAAACUAUGGCAUGUGUAGGAAUUGCUACUGAACUGUUUUAGAAGCUUUGUUGCGUGAAAAUUUAGCUUACUACUCUUGAUAAGCCUUUUAAGUUGUGCAGGCGGUCUCUAUCAAAUUUAAAAUAAACAAAGAAGUGUUUAGAUGUUAUGUAAGCUAAUGGCAUAUUCAUCAGAACCUGCGGUAGCAGCAUUCUUUUUCUAAUAUCCUGUGGGUGGGCAUAGUCUUUUUAAUAAUUAGGUUUAUGUGGAGGUGACUUCAGUUUUUCUUUGUUUGACUUUCAAAAGGUUGCUGCAUAGUCCUUUUUUUUUUUAAAUAUUUUGAUUCUUUUCAAAUGGGUUUCCAAAGGAGGGUCUUCUUUCAAUAUGUUGGAUACAUUGUCUCACACCUGACUAGGUCCCUUAUUAUUCUACUCAUUAAAUGCUUCCCCUUCAUGCACUUAUUUUGUUUAUUUUGUAGAAAUAAAAACAUUGAGGAAAUUAAUUUUGUGUUGCAUUUGCUUUUGUGCUGUAGAAAACUGGCCCAGUGGAAGAUCAAUGGUCUUUUUAAAGUAUAGUUUCUUCCCCAACCACCCCCCCCCACCACCAAAAAAAAAAACAUAGAAAUGUGACCACCUAGCUGAAAAUUUUGUUUCCAGCAUUUCUGCUGUUACAUUUUUAAUUAUUUCUCUUCAUCUUGGAAGCAAAAGCCCUAAUUAUUAUGAGAUUCUCAAUUAUUUUUCUGCAGACACAAAAGCUUGGGAAGUUGACACAUUGAGAGGGCAUAUGAACAAUGUGUCAUGUGUUCUAUUCCAUGCAAGACAGGACAUUAUUGUCUCAAAUUCAGAAGAUAAGAGCAUACGAGUGUGGGAUGCUACAAAGAGAACAGGUCUUCAGACUUUCAGAAGGGAACAUGACCGAUUCUGGAUCCUUGCGGCUCACCCUGAGAUGAAUCUUCUAGCUGCCGGUCAUGACAGUGGCAUGAUUGUAUUCAAACUGGAGAGGGAACGCCCUGCAUUUUCUGUGAGUGGUGAUUCUCUGCUUUAUGUGAAAGAUCGCUUCCUGCGCAUUUUUGAGUACUCAACUCAGAAGGAUACUCAGUUGAUACCAAUUAGGAGGCCUGGUUCUAACAGCUUAAAUCAAGGCCCCCGCACUCUUUCCUACAGCCCUACUGAAAAUGCUGCUUUAAUAUGUUCAGACAUGGAUGGAGGUUCUUAUGAGCUCUAUAUUGUACCGAAAGACAACUAUGGUAGAGGUGAAACUGUUCAAGAAGCCAAAAGAGGUAUUGGAGGUUCAGCAGUUUUCGUUGCUCGAAAUAGAUUUGCUGUGCUUGAGAAGAGCAGCAACCAAGUGGCGGUCAAGAAUCUUAAGAAUGAUACUGUGAAGAAGAGUCCUCUUCCUAUUGCUACAGAUGCAAUUUUUUAUGCAGGCACAGGAAACUUGCUGUGUAGGGCAGAGGACCGAGUUGUCAUUUUUGACCUCCAACAGCGCUUGGUACUUGGGGAACUUCAGACUUCUUUCAUCAGGUAUGUAGUCUGGUCACAGGACAUGGAAAGCGUUGCUUUGCUCAGCAAGCACUCAAUAGUCAUAGCUGAUAAGAAACUUGUUCAUCGGUGUACUCUUCACGAGACAAUCCGUGUCAAGAGUGGAGCUUGGGAUGAUAAUGGUGUUUUCAUAUACACGACACUAACGCACAUCAAGUAUUGCCUUCCUAAUGGGGACAGUGGAAUUAUUAAAACCCUGGAUGUCCCUAUAUACAUCACUAAAAUAUAUGGCAAUACAAUCUUUUGCCUGGAUCGAGAAGGCAAAAAUCGUCCUAUUAUUAUUGAUUCAACCGAGUACAUUUUUAAGCUGUCUCUGCUAAGGAAGAGAUAUGACCAGGUCAUGAGUAUGAUUAGGAACUCAGAACUCUGUGGGCAAGCCAUGAUUGCUUAUUUGCAGCAGAAGGGAUUUCCAGAAGUUGCUCUGCAUUUUGUAAAGGAUGAGCGAACUCGAUUCAACUUGGCUCUCGAAAGUGGAAACAUCCAGAUAGCAGUUGCAUCUGCUAAAGAGAUUGAUGAGAAAGAUCACUGGUACAGGCUAGGGGUGGAGGCCCUUCGUCAGGGUAAUGCUGGCAUAGUUGAAUAUGCAUAUCAGAGGACGAAGAACUUCGAGAGGCUGUCAUUCCUUUAUUUGAUAACAGGGAAUUUGGAAAAGUUGUCCAAAAUGAUGAAAAUUGCUGAAGUUAAGAAUGAUGUUAUGGGCCAGUUCCAUGAUGCUUUGUACCUGGGUGAUAUCCAAGAACGUGUCAAGAUUUUGGAGAAUGCUGGUCAUUUGCCCCUUGCAUACAUCACAGCCUCAGUCCAUGGGCUUCAUGAUGUUGCCGAGCGUCUCGCUGCAGAUCUGGGAGAUAACGUCCCAACUUUGCCCAAGGGGAAAUCUGCUUCACUCUUGAUUCCCCCAAAACCUGUGUUAUGUGGUGGAGAUUGGCCCUUGUUGAUGGUCACGAGAGGGAUCUUUGAGGGUGGUCUUGAUAAUGCUGGGAAGGGUGCACAAGAGGACUAUGAAGAUGCCGCAGAUGCUGAUUGGGGCGAGGCUUUGGAUAUUGGUGAAGUUGAAAACAUCCAGAAUGGUGACAUCAGUAUGGUCUUGGAUGAAGAUGAAGUGCAGGAAGACAAUGAGGAGGGAGGAUGGGAUCUUGAGGAUCUGGAUCUGCCACCUGAUGCUGAUACGCCUAAGACUGCUUCAAAUGCACGUUCAUCUGUAUUCAUAACACCAACUAAUGGAAUGCCUGUUAGCCAGAUUUGGGUUCAGAAAUCAUCCAUUGCCGCAGAACAUGCUGCUGCUGGGAAUUUUGACACUGCAAUGCGGUUACUGAGCCGACAAUUAGGAAUAAGAAAUUUUGCUCCUUUGAAGCCAUUGUUUAUUGAUCUUCAGUCAGGCAGUCAUACUUAUCUGCGU
This 4772-nucleotide long non-coding RNA is filed under the name Coffea arabica (coffee). RNAcentral's name for it is "long non-coding RNA (CARA_LNC006681)". The record is from RNAcentral. Lineage: Eukaryota; Viridiplantae; Streptophyta; Magnoliopsida; Gentianales; Rubiaceae.